GAUAAACGCUGGCGGCGUGCCUAAUACAUGCAAGUCGAUCGCUGGAGCUCAAGUUUGCUUGAGUGAAGGAGAGGCGAACGGGUGAGUAAUACAUAAGCAACCUGCCCACGAAGACUGGGAUAAUCUCUGGAAACGGGGACUAAUACCGGAUAGGUGACAAGAUCGCAUGAUCAUGUCAUUAAAGAUUCAAAGCACUGGUGGAUGGGCUUAUGGCGCAUCAGCUGGUUGGUGAGGUAACGGCCCACCAAGGCGAUGAUGCGUAGCCGGCCUGAGAGGGUGAACGGCCACAUUGGGACUGAGACACGGCCCAG
This 311-nucleotide ribosomal RNA is filed under the name uncultured bacterium. Its description in RNAcentral is "bacterial SSU rRNA". It matches the Rfam family "Bacterial small subunit ribosomal RNA", at positions 28 to 334 of the family's 1533-position model. The record is from RNAcentral.